UGAGGAAUAUUGGUCAAUGGACGAGAGUCUGAACCAGCCAAGUAGCGUGCAGGAUGACGGCCCUAUGGGUUGUAAACUGCUUUUAUAUGGGAAUAAAGUGAGGGACGUGUCCCUUAUUGCAUGUACCAUAUGAAUAAGGACCGGCUAAUUCCGUGCCAGCAGCCGCGGUAAUACGGAAGGUCCAGGCGUUAUCCGGAUUUAUUGGGUUUAAAGGGAGCGUAGGCUGUUUGUUAAGCGUGUUGUGAAAUGUAAGAGCUCAACUCUUAGAUUGCAGCGCGAACUGGCAGACUUGAGUGCGCACAACGUAGGCGGAAUUCAUGGUGUAGCGGUGAAAUGCUUAGAUAUCAUGACGAACUCCGAUUGCGAAGGCAGCUUACGGGAGCGCAACUGACGCUAAAGCUCGAAGGUGCGGGUAUCGAACAGG
RNAcentral lists this ribosomal RNA (424 nucleotides) under Verrucomicrobiota bacterium. RNAcentral's name for it is "Verrucomicrobia bacterium partial 16S ribosomal RNA". It matches the Rfam family "Bacterial small subunit ribosomal RNA", at positions 355 to 776 of the family's 1533-position model. The record is from RNAcentral. Lineage: Bacteria; Pseudomonadati; Verrucomicrobiota.